The sequence is a small RNA, 77 nucleotides long. It matches the Rfam family "Makes More Granules Regulator RNA (mmgR)". Rfam says of the family: SuhB later renamed mmgR (makes more granules regulator) was a putative non-coding RNA found multiple times in the Agrobacterium tumefaciens genome and related alpha-proteobacteria.
UACUGCUGCCCUAACGGGCGUUUCCUCCCUUGACUUGGCCGCCGGUCCUGUGGGAUCGGCGGUUCUCUUCGCUAUCU